GGCGAGAGAUAGUUGAAGUGAAAAAUUCUCCGCUAACUGAGAUCAAUCAGAUAGUUCUCUUCUUUUUACUUCUGGCUCUUGAACACAACUCAAAAUCUUUUGGUUCAAAUAUAAUUAUCUGCAUAGGCUUUGGUGUUUUCGUUUAGUCUCGCGGUCAGUCAUCUUUGGGCCGUGAGUUUUCAUAAAGGUAAUUUGGGCUGGGGUUGUCAUGCUUUUACUGUUUUACGGUCACAAAGUGUGUGAUUGAUACAGCAUGUUUCGAUGUUCUUGUGCUUUUGUUUGAAUGGUACUAAAAAAGCCGUGGUAUUAUUGUUUGGCUGCAUUUUAGUUCAUGUUGUACAGGUGAUAUCAUUGCGAUGCCUCUGUUCAUUUCCGUAUUUUAUGAUCUGGAUUUUAGAGCCAAUGUAUUAGGGGUCUGGGAUGUCCCAAAAGGAUUGUGAAAGACUAAAAUUAUUGCUAUUAUUAUUAUCAAUCUACAAUAUUGGGUAUUUUAUCCUUGAUCCUUGGUGACUGUUGAAGCCCAAGUGAAAAAAUAAAAGUAAUAUCUUUGAUAUAACCAAGGAGCACAGUUGUUGCAGUCCAAUAAAAGCAAAUCAGCAAAUGUCGUGGGCUGAUCAUACUCUUCGUUGAUGUCAGGAUGUCACGACAAACGCCCAAUUUGGUGCAGCGUGGCUUUUCAGGAUUUUUCUCUCAGUAACUACACUCAGUUGCAUUAUUAUGAUGCGCGGCAUUGAGUAAAAAGCAAAAAGGGUCAGUUUCAUGGCUAUCUGUGUUGCUACGUUAGUGAACGGCAUCAACUAGUGUCCGGUUCCAAACUUGACUGACAAAUGUCUCCUCAGCUAUGACACAAUAAAGCUGAAUCUAAAGCAAGCAACUUGUAGUUUUGUCGGAAAGAGGACUCAGAUGUUGGCCCCAUAUGAGUUAGCAUUGUUUGCAUAUUUGUUUUAAUCCAACCCGAUGAUUUUACCUUGGCGAAACCAUUCCACAAACUGUUCCCCAUUGUUGAAUUAUUUUCCCCCGCUAGGCCCCACAUAGCACAUACCAGUAUGCUUUGGUGAGAUAAUUGCAACAAGAUCUCAAAGAAGUGUGAAAUUGCAUCUUCCCUUCCACAUACUGUGAUGUCAUUCUGGCAUAUCGUCAGGACAACAAUUAUUUGACAUUUGCCACAAAUAUUUUUGUUAAUUCCUGUUCAUCACACUUUCUUUGCCCUUGGAAAGCCUGUCGGGGAACAUGUUAAUGAAACAAAUUGUGCAAUGUCAUGAUAGGUAACAUACUACGUGUGUGUGUGUGUGUGUAUCUAUGUAGUCACCAAGGGUUUGCCUUCAUAUAAUUAGUGUUCACAUCUCAAGAAAUUAAGAUGCAGUUGGCUCACCUCUAUUGCUUCAAGCCAAUGGGAACCGGCAUUUUUUGUCGUUUUUCGUUCACAUUUAGAAUUCAGCAUGAAGAAAGCUUGUUUUUAAUGUUAUUUAUACAGGUAUAAUUAAAUCAGAUUUGGAGCCUGUGUCUUGGAUGGAGGAGGGAGCAGGGGCACACUCUCCCUCCCUCUCAUCAGUCGCUUCCCUCAGGUUGAUGUCUUUGACCUUCAAGUGUCAUCUUUACAAUGGAUACUUGUACUGUAUUUGAUUAUGUUGAACUCUUUACUGGGACCAGUGAACUGUUCCCUGCCUCAACCUGUUGUCAGCUAUUGGAUUAUUGCUUGAUUAAAAAUCUUUAACAACAUGAA
This is a long non-coding RNA of Hippocampus zosterae (dwarf seahorse), 1723 nucleotides long. RefSeq lists it as uncharacterized. The record is from RefSeq and is a predicted model, not a curated record. NCBI's taxonomy places the organism in Eukaryota, Metazoa, Chordata, Actinopteri, Syngnathiformes, Syngnathidae. The transcript has 2 exons.